Molecule: ribosomal RNA, 484 nt
Filed under: uncultured bacterium
Lineage: Bacteria
Description: partial 16S ribosomal RNA
Rfam family: Bacterial small subunit ribosomal RNA
Source: RNAcentral
AUUGAACGCUGGCGGCAGGCCUAACACAUGCAAGUCGAGCGGAUGAAGGGAGCUUGCUCCUGGAUUCAGCGGCGGACGGGUGAGUAAUGCCUAGGAAUCUGCCUGGUAGCGGGGGAUAACGUCCGGAAACGGGCGCUAAUACCGCAUACGUCCUGAGGGAGAAAGUGGGGGAUCUUCGGACCUCACGCUAUCAGAUGAGCCUAGGUCGGAUUAGCUAGUUGGUGGGGUAAAGGCCUACCAAGGCGACGAUCCGUAACUGGUCUGAGAGGAUGGUCAGUCACACUGGAACUGAGACACGGUCCAGACUCCUACGGGAGGCAGCAGUGGGGAAUAUUGGACAAUGGGCGAAAGCCUGAUCCAGCCAUGCCGCGUGUGUGAAGAAGGUCUUCGGAUUGUAAAGCACUUUAAGUUGGGAGGAAGGGCAGUAAGUUAAUACCUUGCUGUUUUGACGUUACCAACAGAAUAAGCACCGGCUAACUUCGUG